ACCAGAUAAUAAUCACAUAAUCCACCUAGUCCCACUAGCCUCCCAGCCUCCCAGACUGUCCUUCCUAGUCUCACUAGCCAACACUCCUAGUCCCACUAGCCAACACUCCUAGUCCCACUAGCCAACACUCCUAGUCCCACUAGCCAACACUCCUAGUCCCACUAGCCAACACUCCUAGUCCCACUAGCCAACACUCCUAGUCCCACUAGCCUGAACCUCAGCCUCCCAGACUGAGCCUAGAAUAAUGAAUAAAAUGUGCUCAACAUUUGUUUGUAAAAAGUUUGUGGAUCUGGACUUAAGUGGUAUGCAGAAAAAUGUUUUCGUGAGAGCCCUAGUGAUCAUAGUCUAGACUCGAGAAUGAAUCCUAGUUCGCUAUGAUCAGAGCUCUGAUACCAAGCUGUCACACCCUGGCUUUGCGGAAGCGUGGUUAAUUUGUGUGACUUCUUAAUACCAUAGCUUAAUCAUAACAAAGCUAUAUGAAUUUAAAAACCAUGCAAGUCAUCCAUUAAGUUUUUGAAAACAUCAUACAAUACCAUUGUUUUUAACAUGCAACCAUAACCUUGUUCAGAAACAUAACAACUUAUAACAAAACAUAAACGUGAUUUAGGGAUUGUGUCUUGUCCAGGUAAGAGACACAACCCUAAACCCUGAUGACUUCAUGACCAGUGCAGCGGAAAACGUUCCAUACCGUGCCAGAUCCGUUUAAUUUCCUGAAAUACAUGUGAGUUGAAAAAUCAACAAUAAUGUUGAGCGAGUUCAUGCGUAAGUGAGUAUGUAAAACCUUUGUGAGUAUGAAAAUAGUUGUGGUAUGUAGCAGUGUAAGAGGACUUGUGAUCAUCAAUGGUUUGCAAGGCCACUGACAUAUGUGAAGUGCAAAUAGGGAGACUCAAACCUAGCAGAUUUAUGCCACGGCAAGUAUGUGGACAAAGUCACCCCACGGUCCGUUUCUAGUUUGGCCGGGGGCUGGGCUCGCUACACCCAGAUAGAUCUACCGCUCUUGUCCCUCGGUCCCUCCAUGAGGACUAAUGGCCCCAUGUUGUUCCUAUCCACUCACAUGAUCGUAUAACACCUCCUUACGUUAAACAUACCGUUGUAAAGUACUCGUAAAUCAUAGUAACAUGUAUUUCACCCCCGCAGUUAAGUAAAAUGAAAACAGUUAGAGAAAAGGGGGACAUGAACUCACAGUGAAUGCGUAUCUCUACCAAGUAAUCCGAAUAUCCGAAGCUGUGCAACGACCUACAGGUGCUAAUUCUAUUAGACGGAUGGCCGUGCCUUAGCUUUAUAACUUAUAUUUUUAGGAGACGGUUAGACAACCGUUUCGUGUACAUACUUGGUAUUUUACUUUCCUUCCCAAGGAUGGGGGAUUUAAAUACAUGUGUAUUUAUACUAACUCAUUAAGUCCCACUUAAUAUAUUUUUAUUUCUUAUUCCAAAAUAUAAUUAUUUUUCUCAAAAAUAAUAUAUUUUCUCUUUACAUAAUACAUUCCAAAAUAAUAUGUUGACAACAUACGUGUCGGUGAAUAUUUCCGCGUGAUGCGUAAGUUACGUUUUAAUGAUUAGGUGGUAAUAGAAAUUACCGCUGUAACUUUUAUGCUUGUCGUAUAAGCGUUUGUAUUAUUUUGGGUUUGACAAGUUAGUAAAUAUUAUUUUUACUCUAAAAAUAAUAUUUAUACAUUUUCACAAAAUAAUCAUAAACAGUGUUGUGACAAAAUAUAUUUACCGAAUAUAUAUUUAUCACGUUUGGUUUUGUGAAAAUCCCACCUCCGAUUAUUUAAUAAAUAAAGUCAUGGCGAAAUAUAGUUUUGAAAACAUGUCAAAAGUAGUCUAACACUUGUAAAUAAUUCUAAGUGUUAGAUUUUUAGAAAAUUUCGCCAGAGUUUCCCCUGUAACUGGAGGUGGCCACGCUUUCAAGCGUAUCAUUUUCUUUUACAAAAUCACUUCUUUUAUUUCAAUCAAUCAAUUUCCAACAUAAUAAACAAGUUUCAACACUUCGAAUUCGUAGAUUAGUGUGUAAAAUCACAAUAUUACAUGAACUUGUAGUUUUUCUAAAACUAUUAUGUAGAUCUCGUUAUAUUUAGUGGAUCUAUGUAUAAAAAUAGUUUAUUCUUGCAAAAACCCCGUUUUUGGAACAAAUCACUCUUUACAACUUCCCGACAAUUUUUAUAAAAAUUGUUAUUUUGUCGGAUCUUUCCUUUCACAAGUGUUUAUACACUUGUAGACUAUGAAAAUCACAUUUGUUAACCUGUUAUACAACUUUUAUAAAACAUGAUUUUCUCAACACCCGGUCCUCCGAAUAUACCACUUGUACAUACGUAGAUCGGCUCGUUUUAAAUACUAUUUUACAUGUUAAAACAUUUUUACACAAGUUCAUGUUUCCCGUGUGGUGGAGUUUCACCUUUUAACCCUUUGUACAAAAGAAACAAGUGUAUGUCAAGAUACGUGAUCCUAACAAAGUCGGGUUAAACGAUGAUGAGAGCCACCACAUCGUAGAUCGGGCCAUAAAGACCAACAUAUUCAAAUACUACGACCUUUACACAAGACAUGACCUUUUAUCCAACGAUUUUCAUGUUUUAGUAGACUUUUUAGAUUCAAAAGAUGGGUUACCGACUUUUAACCGUUAAAAAUCCUUUUAACCACUUUAGUUACGAUUAAAAACGAGUUUUAAAUGUUAUACCUCUAGCUCGGGGCUAGGGAAGAUCUUUGGCGAAAACGGCGUGGAUAAAAGAAAAUGCACCUGGUCCUUUAGCUUCCGUUUGCUUCAAGCUUCGUUGUAGGUGAUCCUUCACCCUUGGUUGUAUAAGAAAUUGCAAGAUGGAAAAAAAAUAAUAAUAGUGGGUGUAGGUGGGCUCUCGGCCGAGAGUAUCAAGAGAAGGAUAGGAAAAGUUUGUAAUUUUUGUUGAUUAGUUAUGGAGUGAAGUGUGACCUCUUAGCCACUUUUAUAAUCCAAGUUCUUUAUUUACCCACUAAAUAAUAUGUUUAGUAAACAUUGGACAAACAAUCAAAUAAAUAUCCAAAAUGUAAGGGUGGUACUCCCUAGGGGUAACCGAUCGGCUGUAAAUAGGGGGUGUUAUGGUUGAUGUUGAACUAAAUUAGUUAAGUGAUAUUAGUUUCGGAUAUUAGAUGUUAGGUUCAUUCAACUUAAAUAAGGAUGUGUACGAGGUUUACAUUGUUAAACAAUGUUAGCUCAUUUUCAUAAUAUGCUUAGUUAGUGUUUGGAUAUUUGACCGGGUGUUAUGUAAUAUAACGGGUGUUAGGGUAUUCGGAGACCCUAACUAGCUCAGAAAAAGUGUAACAAUGUUUUUAAUAAUAUAUUUGUGUUCCGGGUAAAGUCCGGUUGUUCG
Molecule: long non-coding RNA, 3340 nt
Filed under: Helianthus annuus (common sunflower)
Lineage: Eukaryota; Viridiplantae; Streptophyta; Magnoliopsida; Asterales; Asteraceae
Description: hypothetical non coding rna
Source: RNAcentral